GACUACCGGGGUAUCUAAGCCUGUUUGCUCCCCACGCUUUCGCGCCUCAGCGUCAGUAUUUGUCCAGCAGGCCGCCUUCGCCACCGGUAUUCCUCCUGAUAUCUACGCAUUUCACCGCUACACCAGGAAUUCUGCCUGCCUCUCCAAUACUCAAGUGACCCAGUUCAGGGUGCAUGUCUACGGUUGAGCCGUAGCCUUUCACAUCCUGCUUAAAUCACCGCCUGCGCGCCCUUUACGCCCAGUGAUUCCGGACAACGCUUGUCCCCUACGUAUUACCGCGGCUGCUGGCACGUAGUUAGCCGGGACUUGCUCAUCAGGUACCGUCAUUUUCUUCUUCCCUGAUAACAGAGCUUUACGAUCCGAAGACCUUCUUCGCUCACGCGGUAUUGCUGCGUCAGAGUUCUUCUCCAUUGCGCAAUAUUCCCCACUGCAGCCCCCCGUAGG
RNAcentral lists this ribosomal RNA (444 nucleotides) under uncultured Bacillota bacterium. RNAcentral describes it as "uncultured Firmicutes bacterium partial 16S ribosomal RNA". Lineage: Bacteria; Bacillati; Bacillota. The record is from RNAcentral.